This 299-nucleotide long non-coding RNA is filed under the name Phaseolus vulgaris (common bean). RNAcentral's name for it is "long non-coding RNA (PVUL_LNC004431)". Lineage: Eukaryota; Viridiplantae; Streptophyta; Magnoliopsida; Fabales; Fabaceae. The record is from RNAcentral.
AGUCUCCAAUUUUUGUUCUUCUUUUUUACUUUUCAAGGGUUUCCGCUGAAGCUCUUCUUUUUCUUCAUUCUUUAGUCUCCAUUCUUCCAAAAGGCAUUUUUCUUCUACUAAAUUGUGUCAGUUUCUGCGAUUAUAGGUAUGCAAUUGUUUGUAUUGUUCAAGAGUUUGGUUGUUGAAGGUUUCACUCACGUUGUUGCAAAUGGUGUUCUAAGAGUGUCAUCAGAUUUUGGGGUUGGGUGGAAUAGAUUUUUUCAGUCAUGUUUGACUUGAAAUUUGGUUUCUGGAUGUUUGAUUUGUUU